GACGUAGGGAGCAAGCGUUGUUCGGAUUUACUGGGCGUAAAGGGCGCGUAGGCGGCCUGGCAAGUGGAAGGUGAAAUCCCUCGGCUUAACCGAGGAACUGCCCUCCAAACUGCUUGGCUUGAGUCCGGGAGAGGUGAGUGGAAUUCCCAGUGUAGCGGUGAAAUGCGUAGAUAUUGGGAGGAACACCAGUGGCGAAGGCGGCUCACUGGACCGGAACUGACGCUGAGGCGCGAAAGCGUGGGGAGCAAACGGG
RNAcentral lists this ribosomal RNA (253 nucleotides) under uncultured bacterium. RNAcentral describes it as "partial 16S ribosomal RNA". It matches the Rfam family "Bacterial small subunit ribosomal RNA", at positions 524 to 776 of the family's 1533-position model. The record is from RNAcentral.